AUGCGCACCUCUUUGUAUGCUGACGAUGCGUCAAUCUUCGUGGUGCCCGUUAAGGAGGACACACAGCAGCUCACUUCCAUCCUAGCUAAUUUUGGGGAGGUCACUGGCCUGGUGACAAACUUGGAGAAGAGCACCGUUGCGCCUAUUCGGUGUGAUGGUAUCAACCUCGACAAUGUGCUUGAGAGAUUCCUGGCCAAGCGCUCGGCCUUCCCCAUGCGAUACCUUGGCGUUCCGAUGUUGGUUUACCUACUCAGGAAGAUUGACCUACAACACUUAGUGGACAAGGCCGCAGGAAAGCUUGUGCCUUGGCAAGGCCGAUUUAUUACAGCUAUUGGGCGCACGGAGUUGGUUAAAUCUGUCCUUGUGUCCCAGGCAACCUUUCAUGCUACUGUAAUUAAGCUACCAGAGAGCACACUCGGCGCCCUCAAGAAGAUUCAGAGAGCACACUCGCCCAAUCACUCGCGGUAA
Molecule: ribosomal RNA, 468 nt
Filed under: Triticum aestivum (bread wheat)
Lineage: Eukaryota; Viridiplantae; Streptophyta; Magnoliopsida; Poales; Poaceae
Description: partial small subunit ribosomal RNA
Source: RNAcentral